AAACUUUACAAUGCUGGCAACAGCGAUAAGGGAACCUCGAGUGCCAGGUUACAAAUCUGGCUGUCGAGAUGCCUAAAAAGCAUUUCAUAGCAAGGGCCGGGCAAGACCGGUGCCAGCCGCCGCGGUAACACCGGCGGCCCGAGUGGUAACCGCUUUUAUUGGGUCUAAAGGGUCUGUAGCCGGCCAAGUAAGUCCCUUGGGAAAUCUGGCAGCUCAACUGUCAGGCUGCUAGGGGAUACUGCUAGGCUUGGGACCGGGAGAGGUGAGAGGUACCUUGGGGGUAGGGGUGAAAUCUUGUGAUCCUCGGGGGACCACCAGUGGCGAAGGCGUCUCACCAGAACGGGUCCGACGGUAAGGGACGAAAGCUAGGGGCACGAACCGG
This 382-nucleotide ribosomal RNA is filed under the name uncultured archaeon. RNAcentral describes it as "bacterial SSU rRNA". It matches the Rfam family "Archaeal small subunit ribosomal RNA", at positions 345 to 727 of the family's 1478-position model. The record is from RNAcentral.